This 253-nucleotide ribosomal RNA is filed under the name uncultured bacterium. RNAcentral describes it as "partial 16S ribosomal RNA". It matches the Rfam family "Bacterial small subunit ribosomal RNA", at positions 524 to 776 of the family's 1533-position model. The record is from RNAcentral.
UACGUAGGGGGCUAGCGUUGUCCGGAUUUAUUGGGCGUAAAGAGCGUGUAGGCGGCCAGGUAGGUCUGCUGUGAAAACUCGAGGCUCAACCUCGAGACGUCGGCGGAAACCAUCUGGCUAGAGUCCGGAAGAGGAGAGUGGAAUUCCUGGUGUAGCGGUGAAAUGCGCAGAUAUCAGGAAGAACACCUAUAGCGAAGGCAGCUUGCUGGGACGACACUGACGCUAAGGCGCGAAAGCGUGGGGAGCGAACAGG